CAGUCGCCGCGGUAAUACGGAGGAUCCAAGCGUUAUCCGGAAUCAUUGGGUUUAAAGGGUCCGUAGGCGGUCUUGUAAGUCAGUGGUGAAAGCCCAUCGCUCAACGGUGGAACGGCCAUUGAUACUGCAGGACUUGAAUUAUUGGGAAGUAACUAGAAUAUGUAGUGUAGCGGUGAAAUGCUUAGAGAUUACAUAGAAUACCAAUUGCGAAGGCAGGUUACUACCAAUUGAUUGACGCUGAUGGACGAAAGCGUGGGUAGCGAACAGGAUUAGAUACCCCGGUAGUCCCUGUCUCUUAUAC
Molecule: ribosomal RNA, 301 nt
Filed under: uncultured bacterium
Lineage: Bacteria
Description: partial 16S ribosomal RNA
Rfam family: Bacterial small subunit ribosomal RNA
Source: RNAcentral